This 186-nucleotide ribosomal RNA is filed under the name Pseudomonadales bacterium. RNAcentral describes it as "partial 16S ribosomal RNA". It matches the Rfam family "Bacterial small subunit ribosomal RNA", at positions 1350 to 1533 of the family's 1533-position model. Lineage: Bacteria; Pseudomonadati; Pseudomonadota; Gammaproteobacteria; Pseudomonadales. The record is from RNAcentral.
CAGCAUGCCACGGUGAAUACGUUCCCGGGCCUUGUACACACCGCCCGUCACACCAUGGGAGUUGGCUUUACCCGAAGAUGGUGCGCUAACCCGCAAGGGGAGCAGCCAGCCACGGUAAGGUCAGCGACUGGGGUGAAGUCGUAACAAGGUAGCCGUAGGGGAACCUGCGGCUGGAUCACCUCCUUU